RNAcentral lists this ribosomal RNA (461 nucleotides) under uncultured bacterium. RNAcentral describes it as "partial 16S ribosomal RNA". It matches the Rfam family "Bacterial small subunit ribosomal RNA", at positions 338 to 795 of the family's 1533-position model. The record is from RNAcentral.
CCUACGGGUGGCAGCAGUGAGGAAUAUUGGUCAAUGGGCGAGAGCCUGAACCAGCCAAGUCGCGUGAAGGAUGACGGCCCUACGGGUUGUAAACUUCUUUUGUCAGGGAGCAAUUGGGUCCACGCGUGGGCUUAGCGAGAGUACCUGAAGAAAAAGCAUCGGCUAACUCCGUGCCAGCAGCCGCGGUAAUACGGAGGAGGCGAGCGUUAUCCGGAAUGACUGGGCGUAAAGGGUGCGUAGGUGGUUUGGCAAGUUAGUAGCGUAACUCCAAGGCUCAACCUUGGAACUACUACUAAAACUGUUGGACUUGAGUGCAGGAGGGGCAACCGGAAUUCCUAGUGUAGCGGUGGAAUGCGUAGAUAUUAGGAGGAACACCAGUGGCGAAGGCGGGUUGCUAGACUGUAACUGACACUGAGGCACGAAAGCGUGGGGAGCAAACAGGAUUAGAUACCCGUGUAGUC